Molecule: non-coding RNA, 95 nt
Filed under: Compsopogon caeruleus
Lineage: Eukaryota; Rhodophyta; Compsopogonophyceae; Compsopogonales; Compsopogonaceae
Source: RNAcentral
AAACCAAAAACAAAAAACAUUUGGUCUACUGAGGCUUAACGUGUAUUGUAUUUGUUGAAUUUUUUUUUUUUUUUUGGUUGUUGUCGUUGUUGUUU